Molecule: ribosomal RNA, 253 nt
Filed under: uncultured bacterium
Lineage: Bacteria
Description: partial 16S ribosomal RNA
Rfam family: Bacterial small subunit ribosomal RNA
Source: RNAcentral
UACGGAGGGAGCUAGCGUUGUUCGGAAUUACUGGGCGUAAAGCGCGCGUAGGCGGCUUUGUAAGUUAGAGGUCAAAGCCCGGGGCUCAACUCCGGAACUGCCUUUAAGACUGCAUCGCUUGAAUCCGGGAGAGGUGAGUGGAAUUCCGAGUGUAGAGGUGAAAUUCGUAGAUAUUCGGAAGAACACCAGUGGCGAAGGCGGCUCACUGGACCGGUAUUGACGCUGAGGUGCGAAAGCGUGGGGAGCAAACAGG